Sapajus apella (tufted capuchin) is the source of this 229-nucleotide long non-coding RNA. RefSeq lists it as uncharacterized. Lineage: Eukaryota; Metazoa; Chordata; Mammalia; Primates; Cebidae. The record is from RefSeq and is a predicted model, not a curated record. The transcript is spliced from 3 exons.
AAGAUGUAGGCUGGGAGGCUAAGCCAGUCUAGCCUUUUCACAUUUUUUUCUACCUGCUUUAUAUACUGGUCAUGCUAGCAGCUGAUUGGUGUCCACCCAGAUUAAGGAUGGGUCUGCCUCUCCUAGCCCACUGACUCAAAUGGUAAUCUCCUUUGGCAACACCCUAACAGAUACACCCAGGAUCUAUACUUUACAUCCUUUAAUCCAAUCAACUUACUCCAACAUCCAA